RNAcentral lists this ribosomal RNA (776 nucleotides) under Arthrobacter sp. MIDF17. RNAcentral describes it as "bacterial SSU rRNA". It matches the Rfam family "Bacterial small subunit ribosomal RNA", at positions 96 to 882 of the family's 1533-position model. Lineage: Bacteria; Bacillati; Actinomycetota; Actinomycetes; Micrococcales; Micrococcaceae. The record is from RNAcentral.
UGGCGAACGGGUGAGUAACACGUGAGUAACCUGCCCUUAACUCUGGGAUAAGCCUGGGAAACUGGGUCUAAUACCGGAUAUGACUCCUCAUCGCAUGGUGGGGGGUGGAAAGCUUUAUUGUGGUUUUGGAUGGACUCGCGGCCUAUCAGCUUGUUGGUGAGGUAAUGGCUCACCAAGGCGACGACGGGUAGCCGGCCUGAGAGGGUGACCGGCCACACUGGGACUGAGACACGGCCCAGACUCCUACGGGAGGCAGCAGUGGGGAAUAUUGCACAAUGGGCGCAAGCCUGAUGCAGCGACGCCGCGUGAGGGAUGACGGCCUUCGGGUUGUAAACCUCUUUCAGUAGGGAAGAAGCGAAAGUGACGGUACCUGCAGAAGAAGCGCCGGCUAACUACGUGCCAGCAGCCGCGGUAAUACGUAGGGCGCAAGCGUUAUCCGGAAUUAUUGGGCGUAAAGAGCUCGUAGGCGGUUUGUCGCGUCUGCCGUGAAAGUCCGGGGCUCAACUCCGGAUCUGCGGUGGGUACGGGCAGACUAGAGUGAUGUAGGGGAGACUGGAAUUCCUGGUGUAGCGGUGAAAUGCGCAGAUAUCAGGAGGAACACCGAUGGCGAAGGCAGGUCUCUGGGCAUUAACUGACGCUGANGAGCGAAAGCAUGGGGAGCGAACAGGAUUAGAUACCCUGGUAGUCCAUGCCGUAAACGUUGGGCACUAUGUGUGGGGGACAUUCCACGUUUUCCGCGCCGUAGCUAACGCAUUAAGUGCCCCGCCUGGGGAGUA